UGGGGAAUAUUGCACAAUGGGCGGAAGCCUGAUGCAGCGACGCCGCGUGGGGGAUGAAGGCCUUCGGGUUGUAAACUCCUUUCGACAGGGACGAAGCUUUUGUGACGGUACCUGUAUAAGAAGCACCGGCUAACUACGUGCCAGCAGCCGCGGUAAUACGCAGGGUGCGAGCGUUGUCCGGAAUUACUGGGCGUAAAUAGCUCGUAGGUGGUUUGUCGCGGCGUCUGUGAAAUUCCGGGGCUUAACUCCGGGCGUGCAGGCGAUACGGGCUGACUUGAGUGCUGUAGGGGGGACUGGAAUUCCUGGUGUAGCGGUGAAAUGCGCAGAUAUCAGGAGGAACACCGAUGGCGAAGGCAGGUCUCUGGGCAGUAACUGACACUGAGGAGCGAAAGCAUGGGUAGCGAACAGG
This 409-nucleotide ribosomal RNA is filed under the name Actinomycetes bacterium. RNAcentral describes it as "Actinobacteria bacterium partial 16S ribosomal RNA". It matches the Rfam family "Bacterial small subunit ribosomal RNA", at positions 355 to 776 of the family's 1533-position model. The record is from RNAcentral. Lineage: Bacteria; Bacillati; Actinomycetota; Actinomycetes.